UUAGGGUUUGCAGUGGGGAUUUCCAGUGACAAAGAAACACAAUUUGAUCUCAUAACCCUGGACACCACAGACUUAUUUUAAAUGAUAGAAACUUAAGAUUGGAAGGAAAUCUGAGUCAUCAUCCAGUCUUUGUUUUUCACUCAAAGAAAAACUUACUGCUCACCUUUAUUUGAACACCUUGGUAACAUGCUACCGGGGGCAGAGGAAGAAAAACUAGAAGGGUGAUUCAUUCAGAAGACAGUCCGAUUCCCAGAUAGCAGAGGCAGUGUGGUAUAGUGGGUAGCAGGAUGCUUCUGCAGUCAUAUGCCCUGAGUCUGGAUGCCAGUAACAACGCUGUCUGGAUGUACGACUCCAGAGUGAAGAUGCCUCAAAAUGCAUCUGGUGGCAGUGAGCAAGCUUUUGCUGGGCUUGUGCAGGCUGGGCAUAAGUCAAAAAGCAGGCCUGGGGAAAUGCCUAAGGAUCAUUCUGCACCUGGAGAGACUUCCUUCCUUCAUCACUGAUACCCAGGUUACAGAUAUUUUCCUUGUGUUUCAUAAGCUAUCAAAGCAUCUACCAUACUAUCUAGAUUCCUACCUAAAGAUUUUUAUGGGUGUGCU
Acinonyx jubatus (cheetah) is the source of this 596-nucleotide long non-coding RNA. RefSeq lists it as uncharacterized. The transcript is spliced from 3 exons. Lineage: Eukaryota; Metazoa; Chordata; Mammalia; Carnivora; Felidae. The record is from RefSeq and is a predicted model, not a curated record.